RNAcentral lists this ribosomal RNA (460 nucleotides) under uncultured bacterium. RNAcentral's name for it is "bacterial SSU rRNA". It matches the Rfam family "Bacterial small subunit ribosomal RNA", at positions 339 to 796 of the family's 1533-position model. The record is from RNAcentral.
GUACGGAAGGCAGCAGUAAGGAAUAUUGGUCAAUGGACGGAAGUCUGAACCAGCCAUGCCGCGUGGAGGAUGAAGGUCCUCUGGAUUGUAAACUUCUUUUAUAGGGGGCGAAAAAAGGCCAUUCUUGGUCGUCUGACGGUACCCUAUGAAUAAGCACCGGCUAACUCCGUGCCAGCAGCCGCGGUAAUACGGAGGGUGCAAGCGUUAUCCGGAUUCACUGGGUUUAAAGGGAGCGUAGGCGGGCUUGUAAGUCCGUGGUGAAAGCCCUCAGCUUAACUGAGGAACUGCCAUGGAUACUAUAAGUCUUGAAUGAUGUGGAGGUUUGCGGAAUAGGUCAUGUAGCGGUGAAAUGCUUAGAUAUGACCUAGAACACCUAUUGCGAAGGCAGCAGGCUACACAUAAAUUGACGCUGAGGCUCGAAAGCGUGGGGAUCAAACAGGAUUAGAUACCCCUGUAGUCU